UGUGUAUGAUUAUUAAUAGUUUGGCUACUGUAUUUUUAUUUAUAGUUAGGAUAUCAUUUGAAUUUUUCUUCCAUAUGAUGCUUUUGCAGGGGUGGUUUUGGAAGAUUAUUUCACGGUGAUCAUAAUGACUUGUUCAUUCCUCAUCCCAUUCUUUUUCUGUUUUAUUGUAGUUGGUUAAUAUUAUACAAUAAAGAGAGAUUGUGAAUCUUGUUUGCAAUGACUUGCUUCUUCAACACUUCUAUAUGCCAACAUUUGCUGAUCCCGUGAAUUUCUUUUGUCAGAUCGGAAAUUUUCCCACGCUAUUGAACUAUAUACAAAAGCAGUUGAGCUAAACAGUCAAAGUGCAGUUUACUAUGCUAAUCGUGUUAAGUUGCUCAUUGCUAUUGGCUCAAUGUUUCUACUGAUGUGAUUUAUAUGUUUAAAAGCUAUUUUCAAGUUAUUUUCAUAAACUCCUCUAAGAUGAUUAUUGUUGUAUAGAGUGCAUCCUAAUUUUUUCCUUGAUAGAAACAAUAUGUAUACAAGUUCUUAUAUGGAAAAUACUUGUUGAAUAAACGUUUAAUUAAGUUUUAUAUCAGUGUGAUUUUUGGAUUGCUAUGUGGCAUGAUGUUCCGUUAUUAUCCCCAUUCCUUACCUUCUCUGUAUGCAGGAUCAGGCUUCCAAUGUUGACGUUCUUCUAACUGAUGCAAAUGGUGUUUUUCAAUCAAUCAAGGCUCUAAGCCAAACUGAUGGAAGAUGGCGCUACAGCUCUGAUAAUCCAGAGUCUAGUAAUUGUCAUUAGCUCUGAUGAUGAAUCUGAAGUGAAAGAGAAACAGCCUCUUAAAGGAAGAAAGUUAAGAGAAAGAUCUAAGAUAAAUGUCAGGACAUUUAGUUCAGUUCUUUCAGCUAGAAGCAAGAGAUGUCUGGGCCUUCCUUUUAACUUGCAAAGUGAAGUAUUGCAGCCUUUAUGAUCAAGGACAUGAAUGAAGUGCUCUCGGUAUUUCGAAACCAGUACCGCAAGCUACACACAACAAGAUCAUGGAAUUUUAUUGGAUUACCUUUGACAGCUAAGAGAAAACUGAAAUCAGAGAGUGACAUAAUUGUCGCUCUUUUGGAUACAGGUUUAUCAUGCCUUUCAACUCAUUUUCAUUUUUUUUUGUUUUGUAUUUGAGGCUGCCAUACACGACGGCGUGGAUGUCAUAUCGCUUUCGUUAGGCGGAGGAAAUGCAAAUUAUGUGCAGAACUGUAUAGCAAUCGGCGCAUUUCAUGCCAUGAGGAAAGACGCAGCACGAGACUCUUCAAGCAAGGAAAAUGCUAAGUAUUGUGAUGAUGCCGACUCGUUAGAUCCGAAAUAAGUGAAAGGAAAGAUUGUUUACUGCCGAUUUAGGACAUGGGGCACUGAUGCACUUGUGAAAGAAAUAGGAGGCAUUGGUACUAUAGUUGAAAAUGAUCAAUUUUUAGAUGUUGCUCAAAUAUUCAGUGCUCCUUCUACCUUUGUGAAUAAAAGCACAAGUCAAAUUAUUACCAAUUAUAUACAAUCUACGAGGUCAAAAAAUUCUCUUAUUUCCACUCUGGUUCAGACACUUCGCAUAACUAAUGUUGUUAUAUUCUUUGUCAUGCUAAACCUAUGAGCCAGAAACUUAACAAGGAAGCCGAGUUCGCAUUUGGUGCUUGUUUUAUAAUUUAUGGGCAAUACUUUGUUUGUGCAGGUUGUCUAAGUCAAGUUUCAGUUUCUGAUCAUUGAGGAUGGUGCUGGUAUUGGCCCUGAGGGAUAUGCACAUGUUCUGUUGCAGCUACCAUGAAUGCUUAUAACAUGUUUGGACGCUGGAGCAACACUUGAUCAAGAAGAAUAUUAAGAAGUUGUGUUUUAUAUUAUCUUGCUAGCUAGUUCAUCAAACUUUUGUUGUUAUUUUGGGAUGACUCUUUGAGAGAAACUUGUGUUUAAUUUAGCUCUUGUUUUGAAUCCCAUGGUUGUUUUGAAUUUGGGAUGACAUCAAAACUUAGUAUCUAACUUAUUAGUGGCACUACAAAAAAAAAACUUACUUUU
Molecule: long non-coding RNA, 2023 nt
Organism: Vicia villosa (hairy vetch)
Lineage: Eukaryota; Viridiplantae; Streptophyta; Magnoliopsida; Fabales; Fabaceae
Exons: 5
Source: RefSeq, a predicted model, not a curated record